UCGUAGAUUGUAGCGCCAUGCAGUGGAGAACCAUGAUACUUAAUCGCUCAGGAUAUCAUGCGGUAUGAUGCCGGCAUGAUACUCUAUUACCCUGUUUCUAAGCAGUUUUGAUUCGCCGAGUAUUCGGUAAAAAACUUGAUUAGAAAUUCAAUCUGUACAUAAGUAAUUCUCAACGAAUUGAAAUAAACACUUUUUAGCGUGAGCGAGGACCACCUCGUUUGUUAACGAGCAACCGAAUAAGAUUCGCCGGUAAUGGAUCCGGAAUUCUACAAGAAAAGAAGGAAGGAGAGGUUAUUCGAUAGGAUACAUAAAAGUGCUGUGAGUGUCUGUAUGGGUGUCACAGCGAUUGGCACCCUCUUUAUCUGUUAUAAGGUGUACGAAUUCUUUCGAUACGUUCGACCCUUGCAACAAGUACAAAGUAAACUGGUUGAGGAUGAGCUCCUAUUCGAGGGCAAGAACAUAGAAGAUACAUCGGAAAAUUUGUCAUAGGACAGCACAUGCUGUCACACAGUCGAGAUGUAAUGUAAACAAUUCUUUUUACAUAUAGAAGAAAGAAAUAAAUACAGUGAAUGAUACAAUGCCGAGCAAUGUAUUUUCAAGAAUGAAUAUAUAGUCUGUACAUUUAAGAAACUGUAAAUAAACUUAUGUACAUAA
Acromyrmex echinatior (Panamanian leafcutter ant) is the source of this 654-nucleotide long non-coding RNA. NCBI's taxonomy places the organism in Eukaryota, Metazoa, Arthropoda, Insecta, Hymenoptera, Formicidae. The record is from RefSeq and is a predicted model, not a curated record.